Molecule: transfer RNA, 76 nt
Filed under: Clostridium sp.
Lineage: Bacteria; Bacillati; Bacillota; Clostridia; Eubacteriales; Clostridiaceae
Also listed under: 4 other names
Description: tRNA-Thr
Rfam family: tRNA
About the family: Transfer RNA (tRNA) molecules are approximately 80 nucleotides in length. Their secondary structure includes four short double-helical elements and three loops (D, anti-codon, and T loops).
Source: RNAcentral
GCUACUAUGGCUCAGUUGGUAGAGCAGCUGAUUCGUAAUCAGCAGGCCGCCGGUUCAAGUCCGGCUAGUAGCUCCA